Molecule: ribosomal RNA, 519 nt
Filed under: uncultured eukaryote
Lineage: Eukaryota
Description: SSU rRNA
Rfam family: Eukaryotic small subunit ribosomal RNA
Source: RNAcentral
GAAGGGCACCACCAGGAGUGGGCUGCGGCUUAAUUUGACUCAACACGGGGAAACUCACCCGGCCCGGACACCGUAAGGAUUGACAGAUUGAAAGCUCUUUCUUGAAACGGUGGGUGGUGGUGCAUGGCCGUUCUUAGUUGGUGGAGCGAUUUGUCUGGUUAAUUCCGAUAACGAACGAGACUCUAGCCUGCUAAAUAGUUCGUCGGUAMCGUAUAGCCGGCGUAACUUCUUAGAGGGACAAGUGGCGUUCAGCCACGCGAGAUUGAGCAAUAACAGGUCUGUGAUGCCCUUAGAUGUUCGGGGCCGCACGCGCGCUACACUGAAGGACUCAGCUGGUCUCUCCUGGCCUGAAAAGGUCGGGCAACCCGUUGAACCUCCUUCGUGCUAGGGAUUGGGGGUUGCAAUUCUUCCCCAUGAACGAGGAAUUCCCAGUAGGCGCGAGUCAUCAGCUCGCGUCGAUUACGUCCCUGCCCUUUGUACACACCGCCCGUCGCUACUACCGAUCGGAUGGUUUAGUGA